This 357-nucleotide transfer-messenger RNA is filed under the name Bryobacteraceae. Its description in RNAcentral is "Bog-105 sp019244945 Standard tmRNA". It matches the Rfam family "transfer-messenger RNA". From Rfam's summary of the family: Bacterial tmRNA, also known as 10Sa RNA or SsrA, is named for its dual tRNA and mRNA-like properties. Lineage: Bacteria; Pseudomonadati; Acidobacteriota; Terriglobia; Bryobacterales. RNAcentral also lists the same sequence under 1 other name. The record is from RNAcentral.
GGGGGCGCAACGGGUUCGACGGGAUCGAAUCGUUGUGUGAAGGCGUGUCGGGUUCCGAGCUCCCGUAAAACGAUCGGAAAACAACAACUGCCAAUAACACGCAGUUUGCAUACGCUGCCUAAUUAGUUAGGUAGCCGCUCCGGCUGGCGAGCCUGCGCGUCAGCUAGUGAGCGUCAUUUUGCAGGAUAGGCCCCGGACUUCGGUCCGUAGUCUUGGGGGCUGAGAUCAAUCGGACUAGGCGGCUCCCGCUUUUGCCGAUUCUUUAGGGAGCGGCUGAAAUUACAGAACCGGAUACACACGUAGGCUUUGCACGGCGGGCUUUCUCGGACGCGGGUUCAACUCCCGCCGCCUCCAUAA